UAUAUGCUUCUGUCAAAGAUUUUGCUGAUCCUGCCAGUAUUAUAUGCUGAUGUUAAAGAUUAAGCCAUGCAUGCGUAAGUAUAAAGUCCAAGAAGGAUGAAACUGCGAACGGCUCAUUAGAACAGUUAUAGUUUCUUCGAUUAGUAAGUACAAGGAUAGCUUUGUGAAUGAUAAAGAUAAUACUUGAGACGAUCUUGGACGUAGAGAUACAUUCAGGCCUUUGCAUCAUUUAAUGGUGUGAAGAGAAAGGAUAUCCAAAGUGAAAGUGGGUAUCAUGACAAUUGUAGAAUAGCAAUAUGUGACAAGUAAUCGAUGAGAAUAUCUGAUCUAUCAACUAGUUGGUAGUAUCGAGGACUACCAAGGUUAUAACGGAUAACGAGGAAUUAGGGUUUGACAUCGGAGAGGGAGCUUUCAAGAUGGCUACCACUUCCAAGGAAGGCAGCAGGCGCGUAAAUUACCCAAUUUCAACAGAUAGAAGAGGUAGUGACGACAAAUAACUCACGACAUGCGUAAGCAUGUCUUGAAGGAAUGAGUAAGAAGCAAAGAGUCUAC
Molecule: ribosomal RNA, 552 nt
Filed under: Entamoeba hartmanni
Lineage: Eukaryota; Evosea; Mastigamoebida; Endamoebidae
Description: SSU rRNA
Rfam family: Eukaryotic small subunit ribosomal RNA
Source: RNAcentral